RNAcentral lists this ribosomal RNA (484 nucleotides) under uncultured bacterium. RNAcentral describes it as "partial 16S ribosomal RNA". It matches the Rfam family "Bacterial small subunit ribosomal RNA", at positions 30 to 507 of the family's 1533-position model. The record is from RNAcentral.
AUUGAACGCUGGCGGCAGGCCUAACACAUGCAAGUCGAGCGGAUGAAGGGAGCUUGCUCCUGGAUUCAGCGGCGGACGGGUGAGUAAUGCCUAGGAAUCUGCCUGGUAGUGGGGGAUAACGUCCGGAAACGGGCGCUAAUACCGCAUACGUCCUGAGGGAGAAAGUGGGGGAUCUUCGGACCUCACGCUAUCAGAUGAGCCUAGGUCGGAUUAGCAAGUUGGUGGGGUAAAGGCCUACCAAGGCGACGAUCCGUAACUGGUCUGAGAGGAUGAUCAGUCACACCGGAACUGAGACACGGUCCAGACUCCUACGGGAGGCAGCAGUGGGGAAUAUUGGACAAUGGGCGAAAGCCUGAUCCAGCCAUGCCGCGUGUGUGAAGAAGGUCUUCGGAUUGUAAAGCACUUUAAGUUGGGAGGAAGGGCAGUAAGUUAAUACCUUGCUGUUUUGACGUUACCAACAGAAUAAGCACCGGCUAACUUCGUG